AUGGCCGCCUCCCGCCGCCUGGCGCGGAAGCUCCCCUCCAUCAUCUCCAAACACCAGCGCCUCAUCUCGCCGGAGAUCGAAAUCCUAGAGGAGACCCCCGAAAUCUCCACCUCGCCCGCCUCCAUCCCCCUCGACCCCUCCCUGCCGCUCCUCCCGCUCGCCGUCUCCCACCUCUCGCCGCCGAGCCCCCUCCCGGCUCUCCCCGCCGCGCACGCCUCCUCCCCCGCGGCGCUCCUCCGCCUCCUGCGCCGCGCGCGGCACCACCCGCGCCUCGCGCCGCUCGACCUCCACCUCCUCCUCGCGGCCGCCGACGCCUCCUCGGCCUUCCGCCCCGACCACCGCCUCACCGGCCUCCUCGCCGUGCGCCUCGCGGCCUCCCGCCGCCUCCCCUCGCUGCGGCGCCUCCUCCAGCUCGUCCUCUCCCGGCCCUGCCCCUGCGCCGACGACUCCAUCUUCGCCUGCCCCGACCUCCUCCCCACCUUCCGCAAGGCCAUCCUCGCCUUCGCCUCCUCCGGCGACAUCCCUGCGGCGUCCGAAGCCCUCGCGUCCCUCCGCCGCGCCGCGGACUCGCCCCUCCCCGCCGAGUUUUACAACAUCAUCCUCCACGCCCUGGCCCGUCUCCACCGCCACGACGACGCCAUCCGCUUCUAUGGCGAGAUGACCAACGUCCACCGCCUCUCCCCUGAUGCCUACACCUUCAACAUACUCAUCAACAGCUCCUGCCGUGUCGAAGGCGUCGAUGCCGCCAUGCGGUGGUUCGAGGAGAUGCAGCGCCGGAGCUGUGCGCCGACUGGUGUGAGCUUCAAUACUCUUAUGCGCGGGUUCUUCAGAGAAGGAAGGUACAAGGAAGGCCUUAAGGUUGCUCACGAGAUGCUGCAGCUUGGAGCCGGGCUGUCGGUUGCUUCCAUGGAGAUUUUGAUAGGUGGGUUGUGCGGUGGAGGCGACGCUUUGAAGGCAUCAGAGGUGUUUGCAGAGUUUUUGGUGGAUGCGGUGGUGCCGGAAGGGUUUGAUUGCUUGGAUCUGGUUGAAUCCCUAUGCCAUGUUGGAAGGGUGGACAAAGCAGUGGAAAUAGUGGAGAUGGUAUUGGAGAGGAACGGGGUAUGCUGCUUAAGUGUCCCUGCUGGCAUAACAGUUCUGGAUUGCUUGAUGAAGGCGGGGAAGCUGGAUGAUGUGUGCCGAUUGAUGGGAAGGAUGGUUGGGGAGGGGAUUGUACCAGAUACCAUAUCUUGUAACUGUAUCUUCGAGGCACUUUGUGAAGCUGGCGGACUUCUGAUGCAAACAAGCUGA
RNAcentral lists this ribosomal RNA (1287 nucleotides) under Triticum aestivum (bread wheat). Its description in RNAcentral is "partial small subunit ribosomal RNA". The record is from RNAcentral. Lineage: Eukaryota; Viridiplantae; Streptophyta; Magnoliopsida; Poales; Poaceae.